AUACAUCCACACAACAAAUAAAUGCUAAAACUUUUUACAUUAGAAGGGAGGGAGAGAGGGAGAAGGAAGGAACUUGUGGGAGGGGCAUGAGGCAUCGAUUUCUUUUCUGUACUGACUGUUAUGUUCCUGAAGCCUCCAGACCAUCCACUUCUCGAGUCCUGGAAGCAUCUUCUCCCACCCAGCAUCUGUCACAGCAGCUGCAUCUGGGGCACGUGUUUCUGAAAGGUCGCUGGAGUACACAGCCCCGACCUGGCUGUGCAGUACACGUGCCAGGUCCACGAUCUCUGGUUCUGAGGCAGUGAAAAGAAGGCCCAAACAGUAACCGGCUGAGACCCAGGAGAGAAACUGGGGACAAUCAAGUUGCUGGAAAGGGGGUGCUGGUGUCCCCAAAGUCCACAUCUCCCAACCCUGAUACUGACUGGCAGACUCCAAGUGAAAAGAUAUAGGACUGUGCAGACCCAGCCUGGCACCUUUUGGGUAGGCCACAGAGCAAAUGGAUCCCACAGACAAUAAACCCAGAAUUUUGUGAUGA
Molecule: long non-coding RNA, 532 nt
Organism: Myodes glareolus (Bank vole)
Lineage: Eukaryota; Metazoa; Chordata; Mammalia; Rodentia; Cricetidae
Source: RefSeq, a predicted model, not a curated record